ACGGGUGAGUAAUGCUUGGGAACUUGCCUUUGCGAGGGGGAUAACAGUUGGAAACGACUGCUAAUACCGCAUAAUGUCUUCGGACCAAACGGGGCUUCGGCUCCGGCGCAAAGAGAGGCCCAAGUGAGAUUAGCUAGUUGGUAAGGUAACGGCUUACCAAGGCGACGAUCUCUAGCUGUUCUGAGAGGAAGAUCAGCCACACUGGGACUGAGACACGGCCCAGACUCCUACGGGAGGCAGCAGUGGGGAAUAUUGCACAAUGGGGGAAACCCUGAUGCAGCCAUGCCGCGUGUGUGAAGAAGGCCUUCGGGUUGUAAAGCACUUUCAGUUGUGAGGAAAAGUUAGUAGUUAAUACCUGCUAGCCGUGACGUUAACAACAGAAGAAGCACCGGCUAACUCCGUGCCAGCAGCCGCGGUAAUACGGAGGGUGCGAGCGUUAAUCGGAAUUACUGGGCGUAAAGCGCACGCAGGCGGUUUGUUAAGCUAGAUGUGAAAGCCCCGGGCUCAACCUGGGAUGGUCAUUUAGAACUGGCAGACUAGAGUCUUGGAGAGGGGAGUGGAAUUCCAGGUGUAGCGGUGAAAUGCGUAGAUAUCUGGAGGAACAUCAGUGGCGAAGGCGACUCCCUGGCCAAAGACUGACGCUCAUGUGCGAAAGUGUGGGUAGCGAACAGGAUUAGAUACCCUGGUAGUCCACACCGU
This 699-nucleotide ribosomal RNA is filed under the name Alteromonas sp. enrichment culture clone DMS09. RNAcentral describes it as "bacterial SSU rRNA". It matches the Rfam family "Bacterial small subunit ribosomal RNA", at positions 102 to 803 of the family's 1533-position model. The record is from RNAcentral. Lineage: Bacteria; Pseudomonadati; Pseudomonadota; Gammaproteobacteria; Alteromonadales; Alteromonadaceae.